RNAcentral lists this ribosomal RNA (285 nucleotides) under uncultured Sphingobacteriales bacterium. Its description in RNAcentral is "partial 16S ribosomal RNA". It matches the Rfam family "Bacterial small subunit ribosomal RNA", at positions 1099 to 1381 of the family's 1533-position model. The record is from RNAcentral. Lineage: Bacteria; Pseudomonadati; Bacteroidota; Sphingobacteriia; Sphingobacteriales.
CAACCCCUAUCAUUAGUUGCCAUCAGGUCAAGCUGGGGACGUCUAAUGAAACUGCCUACGCAAGUAGUGAGGAAGGUGGGGAUGACGUCAAAUCAGCACGGCCUUACGUCCAGGGCUACACACGUGCUACAAUGGCCGGGUACAAAGGGCAGCUACCUGGUGACAGGAUGCUAAUCUCAAAAGCCGGUCUCAGUUCGGAUCGGAGUCUGCAACCCGACUCCGUGAAGUUGGAAUCGCUAGUAAUCGCGCAUCCAGCCAUGGCGCGGUGAAUACGUUCCCGGCCUU